UUUGACCUCAGACUGAGUCUAUGCGUGGGAGGGGAGCGGUAGAUUAUUUCUUUAGUCUUCUUGUCCGUUGUCGCACUUGUUUUUUUCACCCUUUUGCACGUUGUCAGAGGCAGACAGAGAAAUUUUAUAGUCUUUGAGUUUUGGAUUUCAAUGGUUUCCUCUUUCAAUUCUGAUUUUUGAUAUUUGCUCUCAUAAUUUCUUCUUCAUAUUCUACUGUCAACAUUUUCAUAGGGAUUAAUCGAAAAUUGUGUUUCAUCAAUUGAAGAAUUAAGGGUUCGUACUUCGUUCCUGUACUGGAUUCUUGGUGAGGAAUCGCUUCUUUUGGUACAUUGAAUUAUUUGUGAUUUACUCUCUUUUUGGUACUAAAUUUUUUCAUUUUAAGUAAGAUUAUACUGUUUAUUUGAUCACCCAUUUGGCUUUUCCUGUUAAGAAGUGCAAUUAUUUGGUAUGAUUGGUAUUCAUACUGGGUUUAUUGUUAUUGUUGUUUUCUUUUUGGGUUAUUUUUCCAGUCCAUUGUCUCGAACAUGGCGAGUUUACUUUGAAGAUGUAGAUAUUAUAGACUAGAUAGGCAGUGUAUAAGUUAUGGGUUGUGUUUAUGGUAAAUGCUGUAAACGUCAUCAUGGUAAAGGUCGUGAAAAUAGUGAGGCAUAUGGCCAAUCAGGUGUCCAUGGAAUACCUGUCUUUGCUGAAAGUUCAUUAGAAUAUGCUCCUGUGCCUUUUCACAACUUUUGUUUGGAGUAUUCCGUCCUUACUCAGCGAGGGCAUUAUCCGGACUCGCCUGAAAAAGAGAAUCAAGAUUGUUAUAUAGUUAGGACACAAUUGCAUGAUAACCCAAAUAUUCAUUUCUUUGGAGUGUUUGAUGGACAUGGGCAAUUCGGUGCUCAGUGCUCGAAUUUUGUUAGGGAUAAGUUGGUAGAACUUUUGUGUAGUGAUUCCACUCUGUUAGAAGAUCCUGUAAAAGCUUAUAAUGAUGCGUUUCUUAAAACGAAUGAGGAGUUGCAUAAUAGUGAUAUAGAUGAUGCCAUGAGUGGUACAACAGCAAUUACUGCUCUUGUUAUUGGGAAUACUCUUUAUGUUGCAAAUGUUGGCGAUUCUAGGGCUGUAAUUGCGAUUAAGAAUGGGGAUAAGAUAGUUGCACAAGAUUUAUCUCAUGAUCAGACUCCAUUUAGGAAAGAUGAAUAUUCGAGGGUAAAGUUGUGUGGGGCUAGAGUGUUGAGUGUUGAUCAAGUGGAGGGUUUGAAGGAUCCGAGUAUACAAACAUGGGGCGAUGAAGAGACUGAUGGCAGUGAUCCUCCAAGAUUAUGGGUUCAAAAUGGAAUGUAUCCUGGCACAGCAUUUACAAGAAGUGUUGGGGAUAGUACAGCUGAAAAAAUAGGUGUUAUAGCUGCUCCAGAAGUAUCAGUGGUUCCACUUACGCCGGAUCAUUUGUUCUUGGUUGUUGCUAGUGAUGGCGUUUUUGAGUUCUUAUCAAGCCAAGCAGUUAUUGAUAUGGUUUCCAGUUAUCAAGAUCCUCGGGAUGCAUGCUCUGCAAUAGUAGGAGAGUCUUACAAGCUAUGGUUGACCCAUGAAAACCGUACAGAUGAUAUAACUAUCAUUAUUGUGCACUUCAAGGGUCUAUCUAGUUCAGAUGUAAGGCCUACUGGUGUAAUGACUAAAGCAGAAGCAAAACUUGUUGGUGUGAGGAUAGAAAAGGCUACUUCUGACACGUCCACUGGAUCGGAGUUCAUCCAGUCAGCAGGAAGUAUUUUAGCAGAUCAGUAUCCUUGUCGACCAAUGAUAUCUGUGGAUGGUAAUGUUGUUGAUGUAUCUCCGUCUCAGCCGGCAUAAAGGGUGAGGUUCGUCUGCAUCUUCUAUGAAAAGGUUCCCUCUUUUUGGUAUUUGCAAGUUGGAGAUGAUUUUUCUGUGUCUAUUCACGGCCGGAGGCCAUCUUAGAUUGAUUCCAAGAAGCGAGGUUCUUUUAUAUUGAUCUAUUCCAUGAAACGGUAGCUGAAAUGGAUAGUCAAAGAAGCUUUCAACCAGAAAAUGGAGAAUGUUAUAUCCAGUAUAAAACAUUCUUUGGCCGGGCUUGCUAUUUGUGUUUUUCCGUUCAAUAAUGGGAGUAGUGUGAAAUCAAUAAAGAUGGGAGUUAGUAUAUAGCAAUAGCAUUCUGCCUUCAUGUUUGCAUGUUUUAGUUGAUUGAGCAAGUCUAGAUUUGCCUGUCAGAGUUGAUCGUCAGGCACAGGCACUUCAGCAGUUUAUCCAUGUUUGGAGUUCGGACUCUCGAUUGUUUCGGUAUUACAUCCGAGAUUAUGCAUCGUCUGUAAUGUAUUUGUCGACUCAAUAGUCAAGUCUAUGUAAAAGGAAAUCCUGCUUCAUCACAACUUUUCAGUUUUCUGUAGGAUUAGUAUUUGUGGGAUAUUGAAAUUAUCCAUAAUGUAUGUAUAUUUUCUUUCGAGCUGUUCUUUUGUGACUUCAAAACUAAGAGUCAAUAUGUUAAUAUUUGUGUCAGUUGGGUUAUUCAACCCAUUUUUGGGGAAUGUUUUAUGAUGAGACUGUCUCACACAAGAAUUUGUGUCCAACUCGUCUUGUAUGAGACCAUUCCAUACAAGUCGUAAUGAAAGAAUUAAUGAUGGAAUUUGAUUUGUUUACAAAAAAAAAAUCAUUAAUACAACAUAUAGAACAACAACAAAUUCCACGUUUCAAGUUUUUUGGGAAGGACAAGAAUAUCAACACCAUGAAGGUAGUACAUCUUGAAUCUACAAAUGUUACUGAUAAUGCGUUCAUUUGAAUUUAUCAUUUGUAGUUCUUUUUAAUGAUCGUUUGAUCAUUGUUACUGUCUUUAUGAAUCAUCAAUUACGAACAUAAUACUCCUUCUUAUUCACCCUAAAUUUCUUAUUUUCUUAGUCAAAUCAC
Molecule: RNA transcript, 2892 nt
Organism: Amaranthus tricolor (Joseph's coat)
Lineage: Eukaryota; Viridiplantae; Streptophyta; Magnoliopsida; Caryophyllales; Amaranthaceae
Gene name: probable protein phosphatase 2C 35
Exons: 4
Source: RefSeq, a predicted model, not a curated record